UUAGCUCAUAUUUGUAUGGAAUGGGAUCGUUUGCCUACGUUUGCCGUUAGGGGCGCUGUUCCAACUGCAUACAAAUUUGGGUUA
RNAcentral lists this microRNA precursor (84 nucleotides) under Bombyx mori (domestic silkworm). Its description in RNAcentral is "mir-2807 microRNA precursor family". It matches the Rfam family "mir-2807 microRNA precursor family". Lineage: Eukaryota; Metazoa; Arthropoda; Insecta; Lepidoptera; Bombycidae. The record is from Rfam by way of RNAcentral.